CUUGAACUUUCAAGUCAGUAAGGUAGAAAGGAGUUUUUUGCAGCAUUUUGAAGCUCACUCACUUUUCCACAUUUUCUCCCUUUGAAGGGAGUCUUCACACGUCGCUUAAGACCGAAUCAAGGAACUUUUCGAUAGGGAAAUAGCUUCUGAGGUUGAACGUGAAGGAGGAGGUGAAGGUGUUGGGAAAUGGCUAUUAAUAAGUAGUAAGGUCCUAGCUAGGGGAGAGUCCCUACUCGGACUAGUAUACACGGAGACCAUGAGUCAUCGUAAGGGUUGGCAUGUCCGGUGACCGAGGAAAGCGGCCACUUCCCAGUACAUUAUUUCAGGUUGAGUCGUGAUGGAGUGAAGUGUGCUGAUCCAAGUGACUUACUCUUAUGUAUAUGUAGGACUCUCGGCGGUUCAUGUCUUCAUACAUGAAAUCAUGUUUCAUUUGCUUCCGUUGUGUUAUUAAAAUAAGUUGAACUUUUCAGUUUCCUUAAGACUCUGAUGUUUGAUAAGUCGUAUUGUAAGAAUAUCAGUCUAGUACUCUAUUAAGUGCAUGAUCGUCAACUUUUCCUUCCCCAUUUCUACCCCCUCUUCUUCUUUUUUCAUCUGUAGUAAUAGAUUAUCGA
Molecule: long non-coding RNA, 611 nt
Organism: Salvia splendens (bonfire salvia)
Lineage: Eukaryota; Viridiplantae; Streptophyta; Magnoliopsida; Lamiales; Lamiaceae
Exons: 5
Source: RefSeq, a predicted model, not a curated record